This 897-nucleotide ribosomal RNA is filed under the name uncultured delta proteobacterium. Its description in RNAcentral is "bacterial SSU rRNA". It matches the Rfam family "Bacterial small subunit ribosomal RNA", at positions 28 to 896 of the family's 1533-position model. Lineage: Bacteria; Deltaproteobacteria. The record is from RNAcentral.
AAUGAACGCUGGCGGCGUGCUUAACACAUGCAAGUCGCACGAGAACGCUUCAGCUUGCUGAAGUUAGUAAAGUGGCGCACGGGUGAGUAUCGCGUGGGUAAUCUACCUCUGAAUUGGGGAUAACAUUGCGAAAGCGAUGCUAAUACCGAAUAACAUCUUAAAUACUUCGGUAUUUAAGAUCAAAGGUGGCCUCUACGUGUAAGCUACUGUUUGGAGAUGAGCCCGCGUACCAUUAGCUUGUUGGUAGGGUAACGGCCUACCAAAGCGACGAUGGUUAGCUGGUCUGAGAGGAUGAUCAGCCACACUGGAACUGACACACGGUCCAGACUCCUACGGGAGGCAGCAGUGAGGAAUUUUGCGCAAUGGGGGAAACCCUGACGCAGCAACGCCGCGUGAGUGAUGAAGGCUUUCGGGUCGUAAAGCUCUGUCAGGUGGGAAGAAGCUGCCCCGUGCUAAUAUCACGGGAUACUGACGGUACCACUGAAGGAAGCACCGGCUAACUCCGUGCCAGCAGCCGCGGUAAUACGGGGGGUGCGAGCGUUAUUCGGAAUCAUUGGGCGUAAGGGGCGCGUAGGCGGUCUCUUAAGUCAGGUGUGAAAGCCUUCCGCUUAACGGAAGAAGUGCACUUGAAACUAAGGGACUUGAGUAUGGGAGAGGGAAGUGGAAUUCCUGGUGUAGCGGUGAAAUGCGUAGAUAUCAGGAGGAACACCGGUGGCGAAGGCGACUUCCUGGACCAAUACUGACGCUGAGGCGCGAAGGCGUGGGGAGCAAACAGGAUUAGAUACCCUGGUAGUCCACGCAGUAAACGGUGAACACUAGGUGUAGUGGGUAUUGACCCCUGCUGUGCCGCAGUUAACGCAUUAAGUGUUCCGCCUGGGGAGUACGGCCGCAAGGUUA